AGUUCUACCAGCUGUUCUGUAAAACGAUGAAGUCAACGAAGACGUAAAAGCCUGCUGCUUUCAGUUAGAAAAGUGAGAAGUCAGGUUAGCAAUAAAAACCCUCAUGAAAGCUCAGAAACCGUGUUUCCUAUCCUGCACCCCAUGACAAUACAGCAGCCACUAAAUACUGCAGCUUAUUUUGGGAAGUGUGUCAUGCGCUCCAGUUAUAUAUAGAAAACAGCAGAUUAGGUGGUGCCCUGUUUCUUUCAAGACCCUCAUGAGAUUUAAGGGACCAGGUAUGAGUCUAGCACCCAAGCGCAGGAGCAUGUUGGACUAAAUGGGUAAGUAGAGAAGAGAAGAAAUGGAAUUUCUCACACUCAGCAAAGCAGAGAACAGCAGAGAGUGAGGAUCUGGAGCAGCUUACAGAAAUAGAAAGCUGGUACCAUCCCUCCCCCUUCCUUCCCGAAUGAAACCUACUUCCAUCAAACUUCAAUAACACUGCAACUAAGAGAGCAUGUAGCGUCGUGCUUCAAAGCAGAACUAUUCUGGUGAGAUUUAAAAGUCACAGUAAGUAUCAAAUCAGAAAGAAAAUCAAGGAGUGGCACAAGAGACUGCUAGGUGUUGUUGAAGGUGGUUUUUUCCACCCACGGGGAGGAGGAGAGAUGAGACAACCUGCAGCAGAGAGUGAUCUGCUGCCUUGAAGGAAAGAACAAUGGACCACACAGACAAUAGACAUUCCCAACAAACUCAGCAGCCCACACAAUGGCUGGAAGUAUCCAAGUGCCUGCUGCAAAGAAAUGAAGUGUUUAACCCUUUGACAUGGGGAAAGAGUCACACAAAUGGCUGGGGUAGCCUUGGGCUUGUGAGUUAGCUGGUUUCUCCAGGUGGGCUGAUGGCCUCGCAUCCCCACCAGAGGUGGGGACCCCCUGGGGAAGGAGCUUCUCCCUAAGGGUAAAUUCAUCUGACUUCACACUAAGGUUAGGAAUCACAAGUAUGGAUUGUGGUGUAGCUGUUUGUACAGGAGGGUGUGUAUCUCACAGAAAGGCCUUGGAGAGAGCAAGGCAAACAUCUUGACAUUUAUAUUUAAAAAUCAUAUUAAAAAACAGCGUCGGUGAUCUGCAAAGUGCUUUACUCCUGGGGAAGGUUGCACUGCUGUUGGUUGUGGUGGCUUAUCUUCACAGCGCCUCCAUCCAGACGCACCCAGCGUUGGAGUCGAGGUGGGACACUGAAGUCAGGCUGGAAACUCCAGUUCAGCUCAUGGGUUCAGACUGAAGCAGGUACUCAAGUCAUGCACAGCCAUCUACCCUACUUCCCAGUGUCGCCAGUCUACCUACUCACUGUGCUACGUAUUGGACCAGUACAUAGGAAGAUCUAAUCACUGACCCAGGAACCGGCAACUCAAGGGCCAGAUGUCAAAACAAGAUUUUCCCAGGCCUACAGAAAUGAUUGCCAGCCACAUCUAUCUGCUCACUUUGAAAUAUUAUUCCUUCCAAGCUAGAACACAAAGCAGAAAUACAGAGUACACAGAGAAAGCUUCACCUUAAAACACAGCCUGGCAAUCACUAAUAUGUGAUGCAAAGCAUUGUCUACCUUAAUCCAGAUUAUGUGGAAGAGAAUAUGCUCAUUGUCAAUGAGUUGCACAAGCCUAUAAAACCCCAGCUAAAGACUGUUCUUUAUUGCAUGAGAAGAUUAGCAUGCCUAAACACAGAAGGCACUCCUAUUUUCAGUAGCUGUACAUGUAAAACCAAGGAAGGGUGUGGGAACCAGGAGAAGGCACAGCAACAUGAAAGGAAGAAAGAUUUUCAUGUGUUCCUAGAAUGAAGGUCAUAAAAGCCCUCCCAGCUGUCUUCUAUCUUAAACAGUUUCUUCAUAAUUACCAGAGCCUUGGUCCCAGAGAUCCAUGACACAGGGGCUCAUGUGGCAUGCACGUGUUUUUUCAGGGUCUCCAAGUCUGACCAAGCGAGUAAAACUGAUCUUUGCCAGAGACUAACAAAUGCAUCCUGAAUGUAAGCUGCAAUGUUUCCACCAGGACAGAGAAAUAACGCAGCCAUUGGUGAAGUGGUGGAAAAAGUGUCCACAAAAGAAUUAGUGACUUGGGAAGCAACUUCUGCUUGGGAAGAACAAGACAGACCAGAAAAAGAAAUGAAGACAUCUGCCACAAAACUGAAUUAAAAGGUUACCAUGAAAGACAGAGACAGAAUGCAUCAGAAACACAAUAGCUCUGUAGAAACAAAAGAGACAAUAAACUGGCUUCUGCUCUGAAAACAGGAAUGCUGAGAAAAGUUCCAAAACACUGAACUGGAAUGAAGCUGUUCUGAGGUUUCCCAAAGCAUCUGCUGACCUUGCUGCAUUUCAAGGGUUAUUUUUCUUUCUUUGAUUGUUUGGUUUUUAAUAUCAUUUGCCUUCAUUGCUGUAAACUUAUUUAAACCUUGCGGGGAGUCACCUUACAGGCAAUAUCCUGCAGAUUCCCAGUGAUCCUUGGCAUACUUUUAGAAGGUCACAAAAGACAACUGUUGUCAGUAGAUCUUACUUCACCAUACUUAUAUUUUUGAAUUUUUGAUUUGAAGAAGGUUGGAAACAAACACCAUAUGAAAGUUUGCUUGUGUAUGUAUGUUCAGCGAGAUGUUUUGUAGGCUGUUAGAUAUAUUUCCUUAAGAGUUCAUUACUACUAAUAAUCCAAAUUUGAAAACAUGUGUAUACGGUACAUCAAAGUAAAUCACCCUUCUACACUAA
Molecule: long non-coding RNA, 2712 nt
Organism: Columba livia (rock pigeon)
Lineage: Eukaryota; Metazoa; Chordata; Aves; Columbiformes; Columbidae
Exons: 2
Source: RefSeq, a predicted model, not a curated record